Molecule: long non-coding RNA, 433 nt
Organism: Lepidothrix coronata (blue-crowned manakin)
Lineage: Eukaryota; Metazoa; Chordata; Aves; Passeriformes; Pipridae
Exons: 3
Source: RefSeq, a predicted model, not a curated record
GGCAGAAAGGAGUGGGACUUGGAAGUCUAGGGCACUUGAGGUCGUGGUGUCUCUAGGAGGAUUUGAAAUGAACCUGUAGCUCUAUUGUUCAUAACACCUUUUAGGUGUUAUUAGUCCUCCUGAUGGGUUCUGUAGACAGCAGAAGUGUGCAGGGAGAGUCUUCAAGGCAUUCUGCUAUAUCUUUGAAACAGGAAGAGCACAGUCAGACACAGUAUUUGUAAAAGGAGCCCAGACAAAUGAACAGGAGGCAUUCUGAUCCCAGUGUUAUUUUGCUUUUUUGAUACAUCCAGAAGUUCUAACUGACAAAAGAGGUUCACUGGACAGCAUGUUCUACAAACAGAUGACAUGAAACUUUAUGAUCACAGGAGGAUUUGCACUUUAAGAGGGCAGGAGGAGGAGAAGAAGACAAGAACUGAAGUUAUUUGCUUGAGGU